Molecule: ribosomal RNA, 260 nt
Filed under: uncultured bacterium
Lineage: Bacteria
Description: partial 16S ribosomal RNA
Rfam family: Bacterial small subunit ribosomal RNA
Source: RNAcentral
UACGUAGGGUGCGAGCGUUGUCCGGAAUUAUUGGGCGUAAAGGGCUCGUAGGCGGUUUGUCACGUCGGGAGUGAAAACUCGGGGCUUAACCCCGAGCCUGCUUCCGAUACGGGCAGACUAGAGGUAUGCAGGGGAGAACGGAAUUCCUGGUGUAGCGGUGGAAUGCGCAGAUAUCUGGAGGAACACCGGUGGCGAAGGCGGCGAGUCCUGGACCAACACGUGACACUGAUGAGCGAAAGCCAGGGAGACAAACGGGAGUU